GUUUUAAUAGUUUAAAAAAAACAUUGGUCUUGUAAACCAAAAUUAAGAAAAUCCCCCACUUUUAAAACU
Molecule: transfer RNA, 69 nt
Filed under: Filchnerella yongdengensis
Lineage: Eukaryota; Metazoa; Arthropoda; Insecta; Orthoptera; Pamphagidae
Description: tRNA-Thr
Rfam family: tRNA
About the family: Transfer RNA (tRNA) molecules are approximately 80 nucleotides in length.
Source: RNAcentral